RNAcentral lists this ribosomal RNA (439 nucleotides) under uncultured bacterium. RNAcentral's name for it is "partial 16S ribosomal RNA". It matches the Rfam family "Bacterial small subunit ribosomal RNA", at positions 338 to 795 of the family's 1533-position model. The record is from RNAcentral.
CCUACGGGAGGCAGCAGUGGGGGAUAUUGCACAAUGGGGGGAACCCUGAUGCAGCGACGCCGCGUGGGUGAAGAAGCGCCUCGGCGCGUAAAGCCCUGUCAGCAGGGAAGAAAAUGACGGUACCUGAAGAAGAAGCCCCGGCUAACUACGUGCAAGCAGCCGCGGUCCUACGUAGGGGGCAAGCGGUAUCCGGAUUUUCUGGGUGUAAUGGGGGCCCAGACGGGGUUGCAAGCAAGGAGUGAAAGCCCGGGGCCCAACCCCGGGACUGCUCGUGGAACUGCGUGGCUGGGGUGCAGGAGGGGCAGGCGGAAUUCCUGGUGUAGCGGUGAAAUGCGUAGAUAUCAGGAGGAACACCGGUGGCGAGGCGGCCUGCUGGACUGCAACUGACGUUGAGGCCCGAAAGCGUGGGGAGCAAACAGGAUUAGAUACCCUGGUAGUC